UCUGCGUAACGAGCUUAAUCUUACGGUUACGUUGUCAGCCGCCUCCCAUGCGGUUCAGAGUGUGUAGUUAUGUUUGGCUCUUCCGGUUAAGCGGCUUUACCGGCGGACUGCGUGUGUCAGCGAGCCCCUCCUGCCGCCUCAGACCGACAUUUCACCCUACUAUUCCUUCACUCUCCGCCCGGAAAUUCAACAUGCAGCCCAGCCGAAGUGUGGCAAGCAGUUGCGGCGAAGUGGGUUUAGGCAAUUCAGGGCCGGAGAAUUACAGGACCUGCAUUCCCACUGUCACUGCAGAAGAAACCGUUCCUCCAGAUGUGAAGAAGCAAGUGGAGAGCCCGCUUGUUCUAAACCAGAGACACCUAAGGACUCAUAGUCCGCUAUUAGGGGCCAAAUGUGAUGACGACUCGGAGGCCGAGUCUUUCCGGGAUGGGAGAAGCGAAGAGGUCGACCGGGACACCAGGGAGAAGGCCAUAAAUUGGUGCCGAGACUUUCUGUCGGGGUCGUGGAAGACCAUUGAAGAUGCUGAUUUUCAAAUCAGCAUUGUCAGUGGUGGACUGAGUAAUCUGCUGUACCUAUGUAGUUUGCCCGACUAUGUGCAAUGUGUGGAAGAUGAACCUCGCCAGGUGCUCCUCAGGGUUUAUGGUGCCAUCUUACAGGGAGUGGACUCUUUGGUACUGGAGAGUGUGAUGUUUGCCAUUUUGGCUGAACGAGCUUUAGGCCCAAAGCUUUAUGGCGUCUUCCCCCUGGGACGCUUAGAACAGUACCUUCCGAAUACUCGCAUGCGCACAAAUCAGCUUUCGGACCCAGCCAUCUCCGCUGAGAUUGCCACCAAGCUGGCCCGUUUCCACAACAUGGUUAUGCCCUUUAACAAAAAGCCUAAGUGGCUGUUUGGGACCAUUGAUAAAUACAUGGAACAAGUGAUGAAUAUUAGCUUUGUACGUGAUGCACAUGUGAAGAAGUACAAGAAGCUGAUGAAACUGGACCUUCCUGCUGAACUGAGAAGCCUCCGUGCUUUGCUCGCAGCAACUCCCUCGCCAGUGGUGUUUUGCCACAAUGACGUCCAAGAAGGCAACAUCCUCAUGCUAGAAGAUGGAAAGCAUUCCUCAGCGGAAAGACUCAUGCUCAUUGACUUUGAAUACAGCAGUUACAACUACAGGGGUUUUGACUUCGGCAACCAUUUCUGUGAGUGGAUGUAUGACUACACCUACAACGAGUGGCCUUUCUACAAAGCCACACCAGAGAACUAUCCAACCAGAGAGCAGCAGCUUCUUUUUAUUAGAAGUUAUUUGGCAGAACAGCACAAAGACACCAACGUUGCUGUGGACCAGACACAAAUUGAAGAAGAUUUAAUCAUUGAAGCAAACAGAUAUGCAUUAGCAUCACACUUCCUCUGGGGGCUCUGGUCCAUCAUACAAGCUAAGAUAUCCAAGAUUGAGUUUGGAUACAUGGACUACGCCCAGUGUCGUUUUGAUGCCUACUUCAAGCAAAAGAAGCUCUUCAGCUGAGAUCCAACUUGUUAAUCAAAAUGUACUGUCUCAUAUGUCUGUCGUUAUCAUUCUUCAAGCUUGCCCCCUACAUGUUGUUGGAACUAUGCCUGUCUGCUUAAGAUGCACUUCACUUCCUUGGACCAUUAUUAGACACUGGCUGGUUAUCAUGGGACGCAUUUGUGUGAAAGAUCUACCUCACCCUUGUGAUGUUCAUAGGGUGCAUAGCUUUCAUCCUAAAGGGCUGAUUCUGACUAUUCAGUGAGGGAAUAACUGAGACCAUUACCCAUAUGGAAAAGAUAUGUAUAAAUCUUAUAAGGUUUGUAUCUGUCCUGUGUGAAAACAUAACUUUUUUCUUAAACUAUUUAAAAAUAUUCCACUCCAGUUAUUCUUUAACUGUUACAUUACAAACUUGCCUACAUUUAGCAAAUUAUUAUGGGAGGGCUUUUUUUAAAUAAAAAGUUUGCAUAACUUUUCAUCACUGUAGAAAAAACACUGUCAGUUUAACUGUUAGAGCAGUUAGAAAGUGUAAAGCUGUACACAUGAACUGGAGCGGUGACCUGUCAUUCAAAGCAGAAAGUUUACGUGGUGUCCUAUCGCACUGAUGUGGGAAUUGCGCAAGUGGUAGUGGUGUAUGGCAACUCCUGCAUGCUUUAUCCAGACAGCACCCUCUCCUUACUUGCACAAAGCCUUUCCCAUAAUGAGAACACAUCUGAAACAGGCUCUCUUAUGUACUGCAUCAGCAUUUUGCAACUUAAAGCAACAUGCAGAGUUCAUGUAUGAAAAUGGCUUACAGCAUUUAUGUCAGUCUUUGUCCUUGUCACUAAAUACGAUAACUGUUAUUACAGUGCAUUUCUGAUGCACUAACUACCUGCCCAUUUAACUCUGUUUUGUUUCCACUUCUUUUAAAAUUGCUUCUAUAACUGCUGCUUCAAAUAUGUGACAUUCUUACCAAAUAUACCAAUCUUUUAUAAAAUAUUAAAAAAAAUUGGUAUAUUUGUGCACGUUUCACCAAUAAUAAAAACGUGUUACAGUCAAUUACUGUAGCCCAUUUGAAUGUGAAGUGCUUCUUUUUUUUUGACAUGCUUUUAUUUAUUUAGACUUUGUUCUAUAUUUGAAUGAAUGUACACCAAUUUGACACUAAAUAGUUUCCAAAACAAUGCUUUACAUGAAGGGUUUACUCAUUAACUACCUGUGACUGUUUUUGUUUUUAUUUUUGAGGAA
RNA transcript from Oreochromis niloticus (Nile tilapia), 2705 nucleotides. It is a transcript of the gene named choline kinase beta, with no coding region annotated. The transcript has 12 exons. The record is from RefSeq and is a predicted model, not a curated record. The annotation marks the transcript as partial. NCBI's taxonomy places the organism in Eukaryota, Metazoa, Chordata, Actinopteri, Cichliformes, Cichlidae.